Molecule: small nucleolar RNA, 139 nt
Organism: Syngnathus acus (greater pipefish)
Lineage: Eukaryota; Metazoa; Chordata; Actinopteri; Syngnathiformes; Syngnathidae
Product: small nucleolar RNA SNORA5
Exons: 1
Source: RefSeq, a predicted model, not a curated record
UGCAGCCGUGUCAAAUUCAGUAGCACCCGCCUCUGUGAGUGCUACUGGCCAAAAUGGCUGCUACAUCGUACGUGUAGCUCAUGGGCCCUAUUGAGCUCCAACCAUGGCCUGUGGGGAUAAAUACGUGCUGCACACAAAA